This 214-nucleotide long non-coding RNA is filed under the name Pan troglodytes (chimpanzee). RNAcentral describes it as "long non-coding RNA NONPTRT017726". The record is from RNAcentral. Lineage: Eukaryota; Metazoa; Chordata; Mammalia; Primates; Hominidae.
GUGGAGGCGCGUCCCGGGCCCUUUGCGUGUAGUGGGUGGCUCUGCAAUUGUAUUCCUGUUUCAAGCCCCGUUUUCUUGCAGCUCUUCGGCACUGCAAACUUAACCGCUGAUGGCGCUGUGGGUGGAGAAACGUUUGUUAGGCAACAACAGAAUUCUGCGAAACUUGGGGUGAAAGUCACAGGAGAGACUGGAAAGGGAGGAAGAAAAGAAAAAC